UGGGGAAUCUUCCGCAAUGGACGAAAGUCUGACGGAGCAACGCCGCGUGUAUGACGAAGGCCUUCGGGUUGUAAAGUACUGUCUUUGGGGACGAACGGCAGGUGUGAGAAUAUUGCACUUGCAUGACGGUACCCAAGGAGGAAGCCCCGGCUAACUACGUGCCAGCAGCCGCGGUAAUACGUAGGGGGCGAGCGUUGUCCGGAAUCAUUGGGCGUAAAGGGCGCGUAGGCGGGUCAUUAAGUCUGGUGUGAAAGGCAGGGGCUCACCCCUGGAAGGCACGGAAACUGGUUAUCUUGAGGACAGGAGAGGAAAGCGGAAUUCCACGUGUAGCGGUGAAAUGCGUAGAUAUGUGGAGGAACACCAGUGGCGAAGGCGGCUUUCUGGACUGUAACUGACGC
RNAcentral lists this ribosomal RNA (398 nucleotides) under uncultured bacterium. RNAcentral's name for it is "partial 16S ribosomal RNA". It matches the Rfam family "Bacterial small subunit ribosomal RNA", at positions 355 to 746 of the family's 1533-position model. The record is from RNAcentral.